UGGCUCUGGCAUCGAUGAAGAACGCAGCGAAAUGCGAUAAGUAAUGUGAAUUGCAGAAUUCAGUGAAUCAUCGAAUCUUUGAACGCACAUUGCGCCCGCCAGUACUCUGGCGGGCAUGCCUGUUCGAGCGUCAUUUCAACCCCUCAAGCCCUGGGCUUGGUGUUGGGGGUCGACCGACCAGCCCCCCCCCCUCGGGGGAGGCCCGGUCGCCCCUGAAAUACAGUGGCGGACCCGCCGCGGCCCCCUUUGCGUAGUAGCACACCUCGCACUGGAGAGCGGCGCGGCCCACGCCUGGAACCCAAAUUUACAAGGUUGACCUCGAAUCAGGUAGGAAUACCCGCUGA
This 344-nucleotide unclassified non-coding RNA is filed under the name uncultured fungus. RNAcentral describes it as "partial contains 5.8S ribosomal RNA and internal transcribed spacer 2". The stretch from base 1 to 133 matches the Rfam family "5.8S ribosomal RNA", at positions 22 to 154 of the family's 154-position model. Lineage: Eukaryota; Fungi. The record is from RNAcentral.